This 486-nucleotide ribosomal RNA is filed under the name uncultured bacterium. RNAcentral describes it as "partial 16S ribosomal RNA". It matches the Rfam family "Bacterial small subunit ribosomal RNA", at positions 30 to 507 of the family's 1533-position model. The record is from RNAcentral.
AUUGAACGCUGGCGGCAUGCCUUACACAUGCAAGUCGAACGGCCGCACGGGUGCUUGCACCUGGUGGCGAGUGGCGCACGGGUGAGUAAUACAUCGGAACAUGUCCUGUAGUGGGGGAUAGCCCGGCGAAAGCCGGAUUAAUACCGCAUACGAUCUACGGAUGAAAGCGGGGGACCUUCGGGCCUCGCGCUAUAGGGUUGGCCGAUAGCUGAUUAGCUAGUUGGUGGGGUAAAGGCCUACCAAGGCGACGAUCAGUAGCUGGUCUGAGAGGACGACCAGCCACACUGGGACUGAGACACGGCCCAGACUCCUACGGGAGGCAGCAGUGGGGAAUUUUGGACAAAGGGCGAAAGCCUGAUGCAGCAAUGCCGCGUGUGUGAAGAAGGCCUUCGGAUUGUAAAGCACUUUUGUCCGGAAAGAAAUACUUGGCUCUAAUACAGUCGGGGGAUGACGGUACCGGAAGAAUAAGCACCGGCUAACUACGUG